UUUUUGGUUAUUAUCUUGAAUAUUAUUAUAGAUAGAGAUAAACUGUAAACAGCAAUAAUGUUCAGCAAAGUAAGAUUUACAAAUAAGUCAACCUGACCCAAAUGGUCAGUUGACCCCUUUAGGAGUUAUUGCCCUUUAUAGUCAAUUUUUAACCAUUUUUCGUAAAUCUUAGUUAUCUUUUAGAAAAAUCUUCUCCUCUGAAACUACUGGGCCAAAUUAAACCAAACUUGGCCACAAUCAUCAUUGGGGUAUCUAGUUUAAAAAAUGUGUCCGGUGACCCGGCCAGUCAACCAAAAUGGCCGCCAUGGCUAAAAAUAGAACAUAGAGGUAAAAUGCAGUUUUUGGCUUAUAACUCAAAAACCAAAGCAUUUAGAGCAAAUCUGACAUGGGGUAAAAUUGUUCAUCAGGUCAAGAUCUAUCUGCCCUGAAAUUUUCAGAUGAAUCGGACAACCCGUUGUUGGGUUGC
RNAcentral lists this long non-coding RNA (466 nucleotides) under Mytilus galloprovincialis (Mediterranean mussel). The record is from RNAcentral. Lineage: Eukaryota; Metazoa; Mollusca; Bivalvia; Mytilida; Mytilidae.